AAAAAAAAAAAAAAAAGUUAAUUCCGUACCGAUCCUGUCAAAUAUAGUAAAUUACAAAUAUAUUUAUGCAAAGUUCAAUUUUCAUAUAUUGUUUCUACAAAAGUCCUAAUAUUUUCAAAUAUGUUCUUCUGGUUUGCAACUGUUAAAGUACUGUUAUUUUACAACUGAAAUGGUCUUUUUGUCAUCACAAAUAUGUCCAUCGAAAAGUUUCAACUGUUAAUUAAAGAGAGAUAAAAAUGUCAAUUCAGCUCAUUAACUAAUUAGGGUUAAGUAUUUUACCUAUGAUUGGUUAACUAAUUUUUAAUAACGGAUUUUAACAGUAGAGAUAUAUUUGAAAACGUAAGGACUUUUGCAAAGAUAAUAUAUAAAAGUUGAAAUUCAUAAAAGUAUAUUUAUAAUUUACUAGAUUAGUAUGAAUCUAAAUGAAAUUAAUCCUAAAAAAAAUAUAAAUCAAUAUAAGCAUACAGAUGUAAACCUUAUAUCCAACUUGUACGGCUAGUGUUGCUCAGAGUACAAAGUAAAUUACUCUUUCAGUCCUAAAACUAUAAGGAGAAUGACAUUUUAGUCUUUAAAUUUUAAAUUUGACUAAAUUACAGAAAUUUUCGUGUAAAUAUUUAUUUUUUUUCUCUUUUCUAACUUUUUAAAAAAUUUGUAUUUUAUUUUUUCAAAAUUUUAAGUUGUUGCAUUUAGUCCCACUCCGUCAGAAUUUAAUUCACUAUUUCGUUCAUGUCUUAUAAUUUAUACCAAAAAUAUUCUUCAAAAUGAUUAAAAAAAAUAUAUUAAAAAAUUAUUUUUUUCUCUUAUAGAAGAAAUAAGAAAAAUGAAAUCACAUGGUACUAGCUUGAUACACUUUAAACUAUAGGAUAUUAAAGUGAGAAACUGUAAAACCACAAAGGGUAUUUGAAGUUUAUCCUAAAAUCUAUAACGGGGGAGGGAGAGAAAAAAAAAAAGGGGCUAAAUUGCAGAAAAUCCUACUAUCAAAACUCGAUUUUUCACUUUCUUCUCCUAUCAUUUAAAAACCUACACUUUACCUCCUUGUAAAAUGAAAAAUGUCCACUGGGAUACAGUGUGAACUGUAGUGACAAAAUAAUCAUUUUGCCCCUCAUCAUUUUGCCCCUCACCAUAUUCACAGGAGAGAAGGCUGAGGAUAUUUUUGGUAUAAAAAAUAUAUAGUAAUAUUUUAUAAACGGAAUCCUAACGAAUUACUAACGGCAUGGGCAAAUUGAAUAUUUUUUAUUUUGUAAGGAGAUAAAGUGUAGAUUUUUAAAUGACAGGAAGGAAGAGUGAAAAAUCGAAUUUUGAUGUGGGGUUUUAUGUAAUUUAGCAAAAAAAAAAAACAAAA
Molecule: long non-coding RNA, 1342 nt
Filed under: Ananas comosus (pineapple)
Lineage: Eukaryota; Viridiplantae; Streptophyta; Magnoliopsida; Poales; Bromeliaceae
Description: long non-coding RNA (ACOM_LNC036844)
Source: RNAcentral